Molecule: non-coding RNA, 69 nt
Organism: Paramuricea clavata
Lineage: Eukaryota; Metazoa; Cnidaria; Anthozoa; Malacalcyonacea; Plexauridae
Source: the annotation of a GenBank genome assembly
GCCUCUGUAGCUCAGUUAGAGCGCUGCACCGGAAUGGCAGGGCCGCAGGUUCGAUUCCUGCCAGGGACC